Molecule: long non-coding RNA, 1021 nt
Filed under: Scophthalmus maximus (turbot)
Lineage: Eukaryota; Metazoa; Chordata; Actinopteri; Pleuronectiformes; Scophthalmidae
Description: lncRNA (ENSSMAG00000024145.1)
Source: RNAcentral
AUGCGUCGGUCAACGGUGCACACUGGCGUUUCAGCGUUGGUGGGAAAGACUGCGCGACAUUUUUUGCACCACCGUAAAGCGAGAGCUGUUACUUCCGUUUGCAACUUUCAAAUUAAAAACGCACCCACGAAAAGACUCAGUUACACCUUUUAUUUUGAAGGCAGAAUAAACGACACAUUACUCUCUCUCGCACUCUUGACAACUAUUUCUAGUGGAACCCAGCCACCGCGCGUCUGGUGCGACGGGGUCGUUAAAUCUCAGCUAUGGUUUUACUUUACACUGCGAACACAUGCGCCUGCAAACCUCCACUGCUUGACACCCCAACACCUCCGAGGAGGACGUGCAGACAGAACUGUCCGUCAGGGUCUCACAGACAAACGGGUGACUGAGAGGCACUGGCGAGUUAUGAUAGCUGAUGGUCAGCUGACUAGGCCCCUAGUGGACAGCACCUCCUCUCCUCAUCCUCAUCCUCCAAGCCCUCUGGUCUGUCAGCAGUUCGCUCACUGUCCAAGUCACAAGUCCAUUCUCAGCACACACUGACAACAUGCUGGGGACCCUCUGCUCUCUCGUCGCUGCUCUAACAUGUGUGGGUGGUGUGACAGUGCUGACACAGAAGCCGACUGUUGUGACGGCGAGGACGGGAGAGACAGCCACCAUGGACUGUAACCUGGGGACUGUGACUGCCAGUGCUGCUCGCUGGUACAAACAGAUUCCAGGAGCAGUCCCUCAGUUUGUACUGAGGUUUUAUCGUACUAAUAGUUCUCCAACCUAUGGUUCUGGAUUCUCCUCUCCCACAUUCACAUCUACUCAUCAGUCGACAUCAGAUUACCGUUUGAUCAUAAACACUGUGCAGGAGGGAGACUCUGCUGUCUACUACUGUAGCACAUGGGACGGCACAGUUAAUCAGUGGGUAUCACGGUGAUUUACGCUGUGACAAAAACCUCCUCACUAAAUACUUCCGCUUUUUUUCCUGCUGACACAUGCUGACUGGGUGUGAAGCCAUCAAGGAACCUCUGAUAUA